RNAcentral lists this ribosomal RNA (468 nucleotides) under uncultured bacterium. RNAcentral's name for it is "partial 16S ribosomal RNA". It matches the Rfam family "Bacterial small subunit ribosomal RNA", at positions 28 to 507 of the family's 1533-position model. The record is from RNAcentral.
GACGAACGCUGGCGGCGUGCUUAACUCAUGCAAGUCGAACGGAAAGGCCCUGCUUUUGUGGGGUGCUCGAGUGGCGAACGGGUGAGUAACACGUGAGUAACCUGCCCUUGAUUUUGGGAUAACUUCAGGAAACUGGGGCUAAUACCGGAUAGGAGCUCCUGCUGCAUGGUGGGGGUUGGAAAGUUUCGGCGGUUGGGGAUGGACUCGCGGCUUAUCAGCUUGUUGGUGGGGUAGUGGCUUACCAAGGCUUUGACGGGUAGCCGGCCUGAGAGGGUGACCGGCCACAUUGGGACUGAGAUACGGCCCAGACUCCUACGGGAGGCAGCAGUGGGGAAUAUUGCACAAUGGGCGGAAGCCUGAUGCAGCAACGCCGCGUGCGGGAUGACGGCCUUCGGGUUGUAAACCGCUUUCGCCUGUGACGAAGCGUGAGUGACGGUAAUGGGUAAAGAAGCACCGGCUAACUACGUG